GAGCCUUGAUGUGUAGGAUAGGUGGGAGGCUUUGAAGCGUGGACGCCAGUCUGCGUGGAGCCGACCUUGAAAUACCACCCUUUAAUGUUUGAUGUUCUAACGUGGACCCGUAAUCCGGGUUGCGGACAGUGUCUGGUGGGUAGUUUGACUGGGGCGGUCUCCUCCUAAAGAGUAACGGAGGAGCACGAAGGUUGGCUAAUCCUGGUCGGACAUCAGGAGGUUAGUGCAAUGGCAUAAGCCAGCUUGACUGCGAGCGUGACGGCGCGAGCAGGUGCGAAAGCAGGUCAUAGUGAUCCGGUGGUUCUGAAUGGAAGGGCCAUCGCUCAACGGAUAAAAGGUACUCCGGGGAUAACAGGCUGAUACCGCCCAAGAGUUCAUAUCGACGGCGGUGUUUGGCACCUCGAUGUCGGCUCAUCACAUCCUGGGGCUGAAGUAGGUCCCAAGGGUAUGGCUGUUCGCCAUUUAAAGUGGUACGCGAGCUGGGUUUAGAACGUCGUGAGACAGUUCGGUCCCUAUCUGCCGUGGGCGCUGGAGAACUGAGGGGGGCUGCUCCUAGUACGAGAGGACCGGAGUGGACGCAUCACUGGUGUUCGGGUUGUCAUGCCAAUGGCACUGCCCGGUAGCUAAAUGCGGAAGAGAUAAGUGCUGAAAGCAUCUAAGCACGAAACUUGCCCCGA
Molecule: ribosomal RNA, 677 nt
Filed under: Salmonella enterica
Lineage: Bacteria; Pseudomonadati; Pseudomonadota; Gammaproteobacteria; Enterobacterales; Enterobacteriaceae
Also listed under: 1 other name
Description: partial 23S ribosomal RNA
Rfam family: Bacterial large subunit ribosomal RNA
Source: RNAcentral